GGUGGGAAUGGGUGAUGGGCUGAUGGGAGUGGUAAACCUGUAGAUGACUGUUAAUGACUGCUAAUGACUGCAAUUAGUCCGGGGGGGGGGGAAGCAAGGGCUGAGGCGCUAAAGAAAGCUUGAUCAUGCAUAAUGAGAUAAGAAUCCGAUGUCUUUAUUCAUCUCAGGUGGCUCCAUGGUUUUAAGCUUGGUAAUGAGUUCCAAUUCAGCAACUUCUCUUUCCAGUCUGUUCCUGAAAUUUCUCUGUAAUAAAACAGCUGCUUUGAGAUCUUGUAUAGAAUGUCCUGAGAGAUUGAAGUGUUCUCCUACUGGUUUCUCUGUCUUAUGGUUCCUGAUGUCAGAUGUAUGUCCAUUUAUCCUUUGGCGUAGGGUUUGGCCUGUUUGUCCAAUAUAGAGAGCUGAAGGGCACUGUUGGCAUUUGAUGGCAUACACAAUGUUUGAAGACGAGCAAUUAAAUAGUCCUGAGAUGGUAUGUUGGAUGUUGUUGGGGCGAGUAAUGAUGUUGUCCGGGUGUAUGUGGCAGCAAAGUUGGCAUCUAGGUUUAUUGCAGGCUCUGGUACCAGUGUCCAUGUUAAGUCUGGUGGUUGUAUUAUUGUGGGUGAGGAGUUGUUUAAGAUUGGGUGGCUGUCUGUAGGCAAAGAAAGGUCUUCCUCCCAGAGCUUGAGAAAGGGAGCUGUCAUUGUCCAGGAGAGGCUGUAGAUCUCUGAUGAUGCGUUGUACCUUGAAGCUGCAAUGCUUUUGCCUAAUACAGUGGUACCUCGACUUACCAACGACUCGACAACCGAAUUUUUCGACUUACAAAUGGGGCUAAUGGCCGCGCGAUUAUGAAUGUCUCGACAUCCGAAAGGAAACCGCGGCGGUUUUAGAUAGGGAUUUUUCGACUCAUGGGUUUAGUUUUUCUGUUUCCAAUGCAUUCCUAUGGGAAGUCGCGUUUCCAAUAGCGUUUUUCGACUUAUGAAUUUUUCAACCUACGAAAAGUGCCUUCGGAACGGAUUAAAUUAGUAAAUCGAGGCACCACUGUACUGCCUUUUGCAUUUGACACCGAUUCGUUAUUGCUUAUGAACUUCUGAAGCGGAAGCUUUUCCAUGGGAAAAAAAAAAACCUCUUUGGGAACAUAUGCCAUGGAAAAAUUUCCACCUCACAUCACUGGUAGUAUCUGCAAGUUUGGAUUCUUCUGUCCCCUCCUCCUCUAAUGAAAAAAUGGGUUCUGCACAUAGAAUAUUAUUCUGUGUGCUUUCAAGACCAAUAUGCUUUGCAGAUGAGUGGAUAACCAACUUAGUCUUAGCCUCAAGGUGCAAGUGAGAGGCUGGGAUGAAUUCUGGCUGAAGGAAACCCCAGACCAACAUGAUCCAGACACAGAGUUUGGUUUUCUCUUUGUGAAGCCAGGAAACUUGGGUUCUCCUGCUAUGUUCUGAUAACGUUGUAUUUUCCUCCUUGUAGGCACAGCCUGUGUUAAAUCAUAAAGGAAAAGUAUAAUUAGGCGCCCUUAACAAUCAGCUCACAGGUUGGCAAUAAUAAUAAUAAUUUAGAGUUCUUGAACUUUUGUCCGUGGGUUUAUUAUUUUUUGUGAAAAGUGCAAAUAAUGGUCAAUGCAAACGAUUCACUAAAAAUGAUGCUUGUUUUUUAAUUAAAAAAUGCAGUCUCAAUCCAUGCUGAGAAAAAGAAAACGUUACAGGUUUACAAGUGGGGGGGGGGGAAAUAACACAGUAUGGAUAAUAAUAAUCUUCUUUGGUUGCAAAAACUAAUUGGUUCUGUUUAUGCUUGUGGAUCUGUUUAUGCUUGCAUCUAAAUAGUUAAAAGGGGUGGUUUACAUUACUAUAUGACUUCAAAAGAGAUCAAAGUUUUUAACUUGCCAACUUGCAUCCCUUUGUACAAGGACCUUUGGACUUCCAGAUGUUGUGGCCCUCCAGAUGUUGUCAGACUCCAGAGAACUGCUCAAGUCAGAGUCCUCCGCUGGGGUGCCCUCCAUAUGGUGUUAGACUACAACUCCCAUCAGCCCUAACCAUGGAACAGGUUGCCUGAGGCUUAUGGAAGCCUCACAGCACCAGGAUGACCACAGGGUCCCUGUCCUUGUUUUAGAUCACCUUCGCUGUGAUGACUUUCCAAAACCAUAGCGUUGUCUUGUUGUGGGACCGGGUGAAGGAGGGGUGACAAGGACUGCUGGGGAAGCAAGCAAGCAAGCAAGCAAGCAAGCAAGCAAGCAAGCAAGCAAGCAAGCAAGAAGUGCCCCAACCUGCUUUGUCUCUCUUGCCUAAGAGCAGGGCCGGGUACCUUUUCCCGCCCAAGGGCCGCAUUCUCUUAGGGACAAUCUUCUGAGGACCACAUGCAGAGGGUGGACAGGGUCAGAGGCAAAAAGGAGCAGAGCAAGCAAUGUCAGUUUCCCCUUUCUGCAAUAGGCUACUUUCUAGACACGCUGACACAGCCCUUGGGCAAUUUCUGCACACUUUCACAAGAACCUUUCCCCUCCUGGCAAGGAAGAGGCAUUGCAGAGUUUGAGGACACAUGGUUGAAGCUUAAUUUAAAAACAAAAGACAGGCAUCCACCUCACCUUGUGCUUUUAUCCUCUAUUUUUUGCUUUACCAGUUCUCCAAAGAGCUCAGGAUGGAAAAAAUGGUUUCAUUUUUGCAGCAUCCCUGUGAGAUGUGAUUGUGGCUGGCUGGAAAUUUGAACCUUAGUCCCACUAAGAAUACUUUGUAUUUUGCAUUACACUGGUCUGCUUACUGUAUUUUGCAGAAAGAAGGAGGAGCCUUUAGUUUGGUCUGCAUAUUUAAACAAGCUGACCUAAUUUGUGCCUCCUAAAUCAGAAUGCUGCUCGAAACAUAAUUAUCCUAUGGAUUUUUCUAAAAUCGUUAUAUGGUAGUACCAAAAUGCUUAAAUUUGCAUGUGCAUACUUUAGGAUCAAAUGAAUUGGUUGAAAUGAAACAUGCAUUUUUAAAUUGCUGCUUUGGGAUAAAAUGCAUUUUAAGUAUGCAUUUGUGAUUUAUGAUUUUUUAAAAUAAAGCAAUUGCAGAUUAAUGUGUAAAUGGGACUAAAUGGGCUUUGAAAAAUAUGGAGUAGCAUAAUUGGUGAUAUUCAGUGAUGUUUUACUCAGAGUAAACCUGUUGACAUUAAUGGGUAUUAGUCAUUCAUUAAUUUCAGUGGGUCUGUUCUGCAUAAAACUUUAUUGUAUAGCACUUAAUAUAAUAAACCUGUUCACAGUUCUGUAUUCUACAAUCUUAAUUUAUAAUAUUAAUAAUAAUGAAAACCAAUAAAAAUAGUAAAGAAAUAAUAACAAAAGAUCACUAUGUUGCGAGAUAAUAUUACACAGAAUACUAUAUGAGUUUAAAUUAGAACUUGAUAAAUAAAAAAUAACAAGUCCAGUAAAAUAUCACUACAAUUUGCGUACAGUCCCAAAAUACCCAAAUACUACCGGUAACAUCCGUGGUUAUAUAAUUCCCAAUAUGGAGUGGGGUUCAACUGCAUCAUUAAGCAGAUCAUUCCAAUAGUGAAUUUAAAAAUCUCAUUUUUUCCUAUGAAAAAUACCAUUUCUGCCUCUCUCUGGUACAUAAUAAUAAUAAUAAUAAUAAUAAUAAUAAUAAUAAUAAUAAUACAGUAAUAAAAUUUAAAAUAAUAAUAUGUAUUUUUUUUAUUUCCCCAGCCACUCUGGGUGGCUUACAACAUAUAUAAAAACACAAUAAAGCAUCAAACAUUAAAAAACUAAAUAUCCUAAAUGAGCAACAAACAAACCAAUAAAUCAGUAGAAACCAAUAAUAGCAACAAUAACAAUAACAAUAAUAAUCAGUUUACAGCUAAAUCCAAAUUAAAAUAGCCGACUUAUGAAUUAAAAUACAGACAUUUAAAUAAACAUAUGCAAACUUGUCACAGACUUGAAACAGACUGAUCUCUCCUUCCCUAAUUUUGCAUGACUUGUCUUGAUUGCAGGAUUUUUUUAAAAAAAACUAUAAAAUGAGACUUUCAAAACCAGCCGGGUCAUUUGAAUUGUAAAAUUGGCUGCAAAAAUAUUGUAUGUGUUGUACAUGAGUAUAUCGUGUUUCUGUAACCUCUUGCAGGGCUUAGGUGUAAUAAAGCUUGUUGUUGUUGUUGUUGUUUAGUCGUGUCCAACUCUUCGUGACCCCAUGGACCAUAGCACGCCAGGCACUCCUGUCUUGCACUGCCUCCCACAGUUUGGUCAAACUCAUGUUCGUAGCUUCGAGAACACUGUCCAAUAAAGCUUGAAACGGCUUAAUUAUCUUCGGCAGAACCACAUUAGAAAUUGGGGACUUCCAAUGAAGCCAAACGUUGGAAGAUUCACGGCAGACAAAGACAGGAUGUGCUUCUUCGCACAGCACUUUAGUUAAACUAUGGAAUUAGCUCCCAGAAGAGGCAGUGAAGGAACCAACAUGGAUGGCUUUAAAACAGGAUUAGAAAAAAUUCAUAGAGGGUUAUCGAUGACUAGCUAGGAUGGCUACUAGCUAGCAUGGCUUGUUCCUGCCUCUACAGUUGGAUAUAAUGCUAGUGAAUACCAGUUGCUGGAAAUCACAAGAGGGGAGAGUGCUCUUGAGCUUGAAUCCUGCUUGCUGGUUUCCUACAGGCAUCUGUUAGGCCACUGUGAAAACAGGUUGCUGGACUCGGUGGGUCUUUGGUCUGAUCCAGUAGGGCUCUUCUUCCAUUCCAGGGUCUGCCAUGCUCAGAACCGGAGAUUAUAUAACGCAAAAACAAGAUCUCUGGUCUGGGGUAAACACAACUUGGAAAUGACCUUCAGGUUUGGGCAGGGAGGGAAGCAGCGGCUUCUCUUUGUGCCUUUGACGGAUCACGUAAAAAAAGGAGAAAGAUCCGGCCUUUUCUGAUUUAAUCAGUGGUAAUAAAGUGGCUUUGGGCAUCUGAUGCGAUAGUGCCGCGAAGCAUUUAGCGUGCCUGUUUUUAGUUCUGUAACAGCCGCAGCGGACUUCUAAAAUAAACUGUGAAGUUACGGGCUGAAGUGCUUUGGCAAACUUCCACAGAAGGUCCUCCGGUGGUGCGAAGCUUGUGACCAAAGCUGGUGUGAGUCCCCUGCCCCGUUCCCAGCCUAAAGCGUGUAUGGUUUUCUGCCUGAGACUAGCGACAGCUUCAAAUGCUUCGUGGCUUGUAAAUGUCCCUGACUAGCAGGCUUCACUAACACGACACGUUGCUUAUGGCUUUAGCAGACCGUUCCUCUUUUUCUCCACCCCCUUGUUUUUUGUAGUUUCAGAUCGUUGGACAGGGCGGCAGGCACAUGGUUUUCAGAUCCUCUAGGACAGGCAUGUCCAACACCCAAGAGAAUGCGAUCUACUCCCACUAUAUAUAAAAAAAUCUGGCAGUGAUCUACCUAUUGGAUUAACCAAAGUUAUUGAGCUUUUUUUGGGGGGGAAGACCCAAAGCUGCUGAGCUUCCCCCCUUUUUGGGGGGGGGAAUCAAUCAGGAUAACGCGAUUGACCAGUUGAUCGCAAUCGACCGGUUGGACAUGGGUGUGUUGAAAUGAUAUCCUUUUGGUAUCAUUCCCCCCCCCCAGUUUUCCGUGUUUUACUUUUAACAGUUGGUUGCUAGGUAGCAAAAGCUGUUGAUAUCAUUUGUUGAGUCACCUAAAUGUUGUUGUAAGCAGAAUCAUUUUUGUGUGUGUGUUUGAUAACCUGCUGUCAUUUGAAGAUGGUUCAUCAUCAACGUGUCUUUACAUUAUUGGGUGCCAAAAUAUGCAUAAGAUUUCCCUGAUAUUCACAUAUUUGACUUGGCUAUGGCUUUCAGUUACCUGUUACAACUUGCUUUUCUCAUGUCUGGUCUCUUUCCCAUAUUAUUAUUAUUAUUAUUAUUAUUAAUAUUCAGAAGGGUCAACCAAUUAAGGCAGGCACCCCCAAACUGCAGCCCUCCAGAUGUUUUGGCCUACAACUCCCAUGAUCCCUAGCUAACAGGACCAGGGGUCGGGGGAGAUGGGAAUCGUAGUCCAAAACAUCUGGAGGGCCGAAGUUUGGGGAUGCCUGAAUUAAGGAGCCUAACCAAGCUUCUCUCUCUCUCUCUCUCUCUCUCUCUCUCUCUCUCUCUCUCUCUCUCUCUCUCUCUCUCUCUCUCUCCACUCAAAAUUGUUAAAACUAAGCAUCAAAACAGACUCUUCCCUGCCUUCCCCCCCUAAAAAUAAAGUUCGUUUCAAUUUCAAAAUAUGGGUUUGGUUAACCCCCUUUGAAGUGCUGCUACAUUGUCAAAAUGAACGUGUUAUUUAAGAUCAAAAGGAACAGGAUAUGGACGAAACAUAUUUCCGUUUAUUCAGUGUUGCAAAAAAUAUAAAAACAUUAUUGCCUCCCCGAAGUUCAGUGUAUGGUUUUGAUAUGUUUUAAGUUUAUAAGCACUCUCUCUUCCUUAUCUUAAUGUGGACUGUUUUUUUCCUUUAAAAACGAUUCAAAGAGUAUGUGAACUCUGGAAAGUCUAAGAAGGCUGAGCUUUUAACCCGAAUCAUCUCCUUUUUUGCUUUUUCUUUCUUUUUUCUCUUUCUUGAGACAAAGAUGAGGCUGGUUAGCUCAGUUGGUAGAGCAUAAAACUCUUAAUCUCAGGGUUGUGGGUUUGAGCCCCACGUUGGGUGAAAGAGUCCUCCAUUGUAGGGGGUUGGACUAGAUGACCCUCGCGGUCCCUUCUGAUGGCACAAGUCUAUGAUUCUAUGUACCGCUCAUUGCCAUUGACUGCAACCAAGGCAAAAAACCUAUGCACAAAAAACCUAGCGUAGGAUGAUGUGAGAAAAGCCGGCGUAAAGUUGCACCAGAUCCAAACCCGGGGCAUUCAGCGGGGCUGCUACUAUGAUUAAGCCUGGCAGAGGGAAAACAAUUGGAUUGCCAGGUCACAUAACUGAGCUCAGGAUGCAGCCUAGAUCCAGCCCUCUGGUCCUACUCCUGCAAUGCCCCUGGAAUGCACCUUUUUUGAGACUUAAGACCCGCUUUGACACAGCCAAUCUUGGAAGCUGGGAUGAACAUGCUAUGCCAACAUAUCUUUGGCUGAGAUGGUGUUCGGGACUUAAAGUUGGCUGAGCCAGGAAUCAGCUGACUCAGCCAGAGGUCCACCACAUCCUCAUCUGUUCAUCCUGGUGGACUUUGCCAUAGGAUUUCCCCCUCAAACUAUCAUGAAAAAAAUGAAGUAGCGCUUCAUUCACUGGCCCCUUCUGUGAUAAACCAUAGUUAUGCAGUUCAAACUAGUAGUACCUUGGUAUUGUCUGAAUUUAUGUUCUAUUCACUUUAAGGGCUAAGCAGCAGCAUACAAGGGUUAAAGAAGGAAAUCCACUGCAACUAAAUUGUACAAAUUAAAAACAUGUUACAAAUUGAGUAUUAAGUGUUCUGGACUCUCCCUCCAAGCGUUUCUCGUAAUGCUUAAUAGCGGAGGCUGACACUUAAUUGUAAUAAAUCAGACCCGUUGACUUAUUCCAUUGCACUUUGUUAAUCGACCGCAUAGUUUUCCAGCGUGAACCAGAAGUAAAGCAUUUCCAGAAGUAUCCUUGGACCAGAACUCAACGAGAACCAAGCAUAAUGGUAGUUGAACCAAACGAAAAAGUUAAAAACGAUUUGUCUCCAUGAUCAAAAGGGUGCAUGAGAAGAGAUUUUAGAACAAUGUGAAAAAUGGAAAUAUGCAGAAGGUAAUUCCAGUAACUCUAGUCAUGGAUGGAACAAGGCCUAAAACUUUCUGGAGCAUCAUUAGCGGACUGAAACUCUGGCUAGGGCAAGUGGGUGGUUCCUGUUAACCGAUGGAAGAUCCUUAGCGAGAUGACUGAGGUCCAGCAUAUCAUCGGUCCAAGCUAGAUGCAAUGCAGAUGCCACACACAGCCAUUUCUGCAUUCCAGCUGGUGCAAAAUGGAGCCAGGGCUUAUCGGGGGCCUGCUUUGGGCGGCGUACGCCUUCAGUAUUGUUCGAAGUGCAUUGGCUAUUCCCAAGCACAAUUCUGUUCUGAGUAUAAUAUGAAGUGCUGGUUAUUACCUUUACUUCUUAAGUACUAGAAUAUCGGAUAGGAGGACAUCUUGGACAUGACUCUGCCCUGAGGUGGUGUUGCAUAGUGGCGAGUGUGUUGACUGUGACGUCCCCAGUUCUAAUGUUGCAUCGUCCACUAAGUCCCUCAACUUGGUCUUGAAACCCCUCAACACACAUUUAAGAGAUUUGUGGGUGAUGGGGGAAGUAAGGCGACACAGGAGAAGUGCUAACAGUGACAAAUUUAAAUUUAUUCUGGGGCAGAUGCUGGUUUCACCAAUAUCGGCCAUCUCCCCCAACCCGCCCCGCCUGUUGAAAGUACUCUUGAGCAACAGCAGCCUAACUCUUGAAGCCACUUGCGGAGACACGUGCGGGAUUUCAGCCCACAUUUGCUUUUUAAAAAAUGACAAGCAAAUUUAUGUAUUUAAAUUCAUUCCGCCCCCAUCCUGCCUGCCUGCCUGCCCAUUUCUUACGUGGUAAUCAAAGACCCCAAGAGUGUAAAUUCAGUGUUCUGCAAAUGGUAUCUUCAAAGCAAAGCACAGCUGAAACUAAAUAAUUCACCCAAGACGGAGUAGAAUCACACACACACACACACACACACACACACACACUGCACCCCCUCUCCGCAGUAAAUAAAUAAAUAAAUAAACCACCCCAGAGAAAUACUGUAGCUUCCCAGCUGUUCUACUUCUCUCUCGCUCCCUCCCCUGCUCUCUGUGACGCAAAUCCAGGCAGCAUCCGCCUUGCCCGAGGGUAGGAGCUCACAGCUCCUCUCUCUCUCCCCCUCGCUCGCUUCCAUCCCCAUGCUGAUAACUAAUCAGAGCCGGGACACAAAAGUGGGACAGUCAAGCGACUCCUCAGAAUAGAGACGUGGAGGGUUUGAAGUGAGGGUUCCCUUGUUUCAAGUCAGAGAAAGCUAGAGUGCUCUGUGUUUACCUGUCCAAUUGCAAGCACCCUAAGAGUGAGGACCUUGGAGCAUUUUGGAGCAUGUUACCCAAAUCAAGUCAGAAAUUUUAUCGGUCAGCCAAAUGCAGGUUGUAGCCAAGAAUCCAGUCUUAGCAACCAAGCCGAGAUAAUAGAUAGAACAUAAUCCAAGACACAUGAUAAUACAUGUGUGUAUUAAUUCCCGAGUUGGGAAGUUUUCACGGUGAACUUAGUCUUGUCGGACAUAACAGGCUGAGAGCCACGCUAAGACAACAGAUGCUUGGUUUUUGUAGAUGCCACUAAAAGUAGCAAUUGGCUUUAAGAAUUCCUUUAAAUUAUUUUGCCCUUGUAGUUUCAUAUAAUUUACAAUACAGCCUAUGGUGCUAUCUGGCAAGGAAAGGGGCAAAGGAAAAGAAGCUCAGAUAGAUAUUUCUCUUGUCCGAAAAGCAAAUGUCUCUGUGAGGCUUGCAGCAAGCCUAUGCUAAAUAAUGCAUAAUGGUGCAAAUAAAAUUUCAUUGCUGUUGUAAAUGAGCAUGAUGUCCUUCUACAGAUGCUCAAUUUAUUUUUACGGGCUUUCUUCAGGUGUUUCAAUGACUCUGCUGCCAAGUUUCCUUAGUGAGUGUGUGUUUGCACUUACCCAGAGGACGCCUGUGGGUUAAAAAUCAGGACUGCACCAGAUAGCCUGCACUUUGGAUUUUUUUUUGAGGUUGCAACUUGCAUUAUGGUAAAAUUGGAAACUUGCCCUGAACCCUCUCUUAAUUGUCUGAAUGUUCACCCUGCCUGGCCGCCAGCUGUUUCUUCCUGCUUCCUAGAUUUAUCCCAUGAAUGAGAUAGAGAAAGAACUCAGACAGGAAUCAUGUAGUGAACGGUAUGAGAUCACAGAGGGUUUUUUUCCUCCUUGCCUCCUAAUACUACAAUCCAGGGUCAGCAAGUGAAACUGAAUGGUGGGAGAUUCAGAACAGACGCACCGCGUAGAGUUCUUCACACAGUGCAAAAACUACGGAGUUCCCUGAAACAAGGUAUAUAUGUCAGUCACAAAACCUCGAUGCCUUUAAAAGGGAGAUGAAAUUCAUGGAGGAUCAAGCUACCAGUGACUGCUGGUCACAGUAAAACAAUCCCAUUAAAACAACACAGGAAUUAAAGCAAGACAUGGAAUGCCCACCUCCGUGUCACCAGCAGCUAAUAAUAAAAAAAAACUAUCUGGGUUCUGUGGGCACUCCAUUGUGCUUGAAUGCACACCAAUGAUGUUUUGUCUGCCCGAAACAAAAGGAUGUUCCUUUCAAAUCUACACCUCUUAAAGCUGUCUCCAUACGCUCCUUUGCAGCCGUGGCCCCAACCUGUUGGAACGCUCUCCCACAAGAGACCAGAGCCCUGCGGGAUUUGACAACUUUCCACAGGGCCUGCAAGACGGAGCUGUUCCGCCAGGCCUUUCUUGGGGCAGGAUGCAGUUUGACUUACAGUGGUACCUCGGGAUAAGAACUUAAUUCGUUCCGGAGGUCUGUUCUUAACCUGAAACUGUUCUUAACUUCCGGUACCACUUUAGCUACUGGGGUCUCCCGCUGUCGCUGCGCCGCCGGAGCACAAUUUCUGUUCUCCUCCUGAAGCAAAGUUCUCAACCUGAGGUACUAUUUCUGGGUUAGUGGAGUCUGUAAUCUGAAGCGUCUGUAACCCGAGGUACCACUGUACUUUCUUUUGUAUAAAAGAAGCCCGAAGGAGGCACCCAAACCACUCACAAGGUCCUUUUGAUCAGUUGGUCCUGGCAAGUAUUAACCACUCUCAAUUCCAACCUGAUAAUUGCCACCUGCCCAGAUUUUAACUUGUCUGAAUUAAUUUUAAGAUGUAUUUUAAUUAAUUGAUGUCUGUUUUUAUGCGUAUUGUGUUGUUUUUAUGAUGUUAGCUGCGCUGAGCCAGCCUCAGCCAGGGAGGGCGGGAUACAACUAAAUUAUGUAGUAGUAGUACAGUGGAACCUUGGUUUAUGAACGCCGCAGACCCAUCUGGAACGGAUUAAUUCACUUUCCAUUACUUUCAAUGGGAAAGUUCGCUUCAGUUUAUGAACGCUUCAGUUAAUGAACAGACUUCCGGGACCAAUUACACCCAUGCUUUGGGUUAAGUACGCUUCAGGUUGAGUACUCCGCGGACACGUCUGGAACGGAUUAAUCCACUUUCCAUUACUUUCAAUGGGAAAGUUCGCUUCAGUUUAUGAACGCUUCAGUUUAAGUACUCCGCGGACUGUCUGGAACAGAUUAAUCCACUUUCCAUUACUUUCAAUGGGAAAGUUCGCUUCAGUUUAUGAACGCUUCAGUUUAUGAACAGACCUCCGGAACCAAUUGUGUUCAUAAACCGAGGUACCACUGUAGUUAGAUAGUCUCACUUUGCUUCCAUGCUGUGUGCUGGCUUCUCUAUUGAAAAUCAUAGCUCUUCUGGAAUACAUCAUAAAAAUAGCUGGCUUGAGCAGCUGUGAUAGUUAACACAGACUCAAUGGGUCCUGGUCAACCCCUAGUGCGACACGAUGCUUCAAGUCAGUCAUGGAGCUGAACCGUUUACGGAAAGGAUUGGUUAGAAAAUGGACGAUUUAGUUUCUUUUCGUGCAAUUUCUGGCAUCACUUAUUCAGCCAUCUUGAUUCCUUUCAUAAGCUAUCCUGAAUUAGAAACCUGGGGUUGAUUAAGAUGUUCUAUUUGAAGGUGGUUUCACCCAUAUAUGGCUCCGCUCCUCAAAUGCUGUGUGGUCGCAAGAAGGGAAUUGUCUUGGGUUUUUCUUUUCCUUGGGGAUGUUUGAGGAUUCCGAUGAAAACAAGCAGGAGUGGAAAUUGCCAAUGCUCACUUACUCAUCUCAGAACUGGAAUGGAAUUCAGUCCAGUAGAUACAAUCAAUAUUUGCUGUUGUUGCUUUCAGUCUGCAGACAAUAUGUAAUUGAUUAGGUCCUCCUUCUCUCAGGGUGGAUUUGAUUUAAAUCAAAUCAAUUUAAAUCACCAUUUCAAUCACAAUUUAAAUCACUAGUCAGUAAGACUUGAUUUAAAUCAUUUUUAUUAAUUUUUUUUAAAGAAAGACUCAUUAUUGCUGGUAUAAUCUUAAUAUUCACAACCAGAUAAAGCUUUCAUUAUUGCAAUAAUAAAUUUUCAGAGUAGUUUUUAUAGUUAUAUCAACAAUUAUUGAUUUGUUUAUACUAUUAGAAAUACAUUGACAGAUAAUUAUGAAAUUAUUGUGAGUUUUAAUAAGUUAACUGUUUAUAGUUGGACAACUUUUCUGCUGUGCUUUAUUGGACGGAGAAAAAUAACCAUUUCCUUAAUAACAAUUUAAACAAUUUAUUUAACUGAAACAAUAACAUUAUAGCAUAUGUAUCCAUUUUUGUUAACUGAUAUGGUUAAACAAUUUUUUUUUAAAAAAAAAAAAACCUUAGGCUGAGUUUUAGCACACAUGAAAAACUUAAAACAAAUCCUUAUUUCCUGAUGAAUAGCCUAUAGACUAUAAUGUAAUUUAAAUAGAAAACUAUAUUUAGAAAAAAAAUUCUCCAAAAGCAUUUUAUUUUAAAAAUCCAAUUUAAUUUUUUUACAAAAAAUCCGAUUUUAAUAAAAAAAAAAAAUCCGAUUUAAAUUUUUUUAAAAAUCCGAUUUUUUUUAAAACACAUUGAUUUUUAUUCACCUUGCCUCCUCUUUCCAUUUGCCUUGUGUUUCCUUUGCACUGAAAUGAAUGGGCUGGAAUAACUUAAGUUACCUAAUUUCGUGCCAGUGCACAGCAAUACAAGUGAUGUAGUUCGUGGAGAGAGAUGGAACUGCAGUGGAAGGGAAACAGUGCUGCAUGCAACGAAUAUGGAGUGAAGUGGAAAAUGACCCCUUCUUACAUCCCUGCUCUUCCCCCUUUAAGAUGGAUUUCUAUGAGUCCAAAUGAAGGCUCCCUAAUGAUGGUGGUAGUGCUACAUGCGUGUAAGUUACAGGAAGGGCACUUCUCAGCUGGAUACUUGCAACAAGGGAAUGGAGUGUUCCACAGUCUUCCCGGUCCUGAGGAAUUCAGCGUCAAAACACAAUAUGUUGUCCUUUCAACUAACUUCUGCUUUGACGUGGGUUGGGAAAGAAGAAAGUCGCUGAUUAGAAAGCAUCCCUUUUAUUUAUUUUACAAGGCUCAGCUUGUAAGAACAUGCACUUUAGAUCAGUGUUUAUGGCUUCAUUUAACAGCUCUGAUAAUCUGAAUGAGUCCAUAGCAACCACCCAUCUUACUUUUAUACAACUCUUGGUUAAGAUAAGCAAAUAGCAAGGGACACUUGUAUCGCUGUCUUCCCAGCAAUAUUUCACUGGAAACAAAAAAAUGGCUUGCAGAUUGUCCAAUUUGCUGUGCCCACUAUAGUUAGCAGGAGCUGAGAGGUGUUGACACUUUUUGGUACAUGCAUAUAAAACAUGAACAUGUAGAACACAAGGCAUGAGGCAAUACUGGCCCAUCUCAAAUAGAAGUCCUACCCACCAGUGACAAUCAUGCUAUCCUGGUUUUACAUUGUAGUGCAACAAAAUGUUGCAGUGUGGAGUGUUCCUCUUCAGGGAGUCAGCCAGCUAGCCAGGCCCCUUUCCAGGAUAAUAACACCCAAUUUCCCUGUCCCCCGCCUCUCAGCAGUCAGCCAUCAUUCUGUGGCAACUUGAGUAAACUCAGUCCUCUGUGUGCUGUUUUGAGGUCCUCCCUUUCGUAAUUUUGUUGCUGUUUUUCCCAAGCCCGCUGAAAUCUUCACCACACGCAUGGAUCAGCCCAUUUCUUCACGCUUGAAGAAACAUGCAGUUUUGCAUAAUAGUCACAUUUUAUUGGUCAGCAGUAUUCCCGAAUAUAAUGCAUUUCUUCCUGUGGUUUACACUAAUGCUUGCAUUUCUAGACAUACAUCAUCCUAACACCCGCAUUUUUAUAUGUAUUGCUUGGCUGGAGAACUGCAUUGCAAAGUUCAGAGAAGCGCGGGUUUCAAAGGAGGGCUGUGUUUUAAGUUCGCGUGUUGUUUUGGAAGUGGCAAAACAGGCAACUUCAACGUUAAAUGCAAACUGAAUCAAAAUUCUCGCCUACCCCUAGCUGAAAGGGUCAAACCCUUUACGUAGCAGAAAUAAAGUUAAAACGCUGGCAAAUUGUUUAUAGGAAUUGUGAUCUCCCCUCUGUCUUCCAGUGCAAUCUACUCCUCCCCUCUUUGAAAUGUCAGGGCAGAAGAACGAUAGUACAAUAUCAUUUUAAAAGAUUCUCCUGGGCUGCUUGAUGUUCCAGAAGAUUUCUCGGAAUUGAGCUCGGGGAGGCAGAUUGGAACACAGUGCAAGGCUUUUUUUCUGCCUUUCUGCUGGGUGUAGUUGGAGAACUUAAUUGGGUGUUAAAGGCUUUCCACUGAGUCUGAUGCUUCCUUUUCUCCUUUAUACUACUUCCUAUUGCUAAUCUCCCUUUGGAGAGAGACUCCUAGCUACAGAGAAUACACAGCUAUUUAGUGCCAAAAGAACUUGGUUCUAUUUGUAGGGAUGUUGGGGGAAUGAGAUUGCCCAGCGGGAGUUCGGGUGGUACCCCUGCCUUUUUAAAAAUCAUAAUCUUUACCUUUCUGCUUUGGGACAGUUAGGGAUUUUAUCCAAACCCCAUUGUUUUUCCCAUAAUGCCAUGCCAAACACAUUCAUUUAAUGGCUGCUGUUAAAGCUGUGAAUGUGUUCUGUUAUAUUUCAUUCCUGGGUGUGUGUGUUUUUUUUUUUAAAAAAAACACAUGAACUGUGAAUGGGAAGGAUUAGUACCUUGAAGCCUGGUUUUAUGGUGCAUGUGGGAACAAUGACUAUACGAAGUCAAACCAUUGGUCCAUCUAGCCCAGUAUUACCCAUUUUUGCUUUUUAAAGGUCUCAAGGGGAUAUCUUUUCCACUUCUGCUGGCUGGAGAUGCCAGAGGGUGCCUCCGGUCUACCUUAGUUUUGUGGGAGAGAUUCAAGUGCAUACCAGGAAACAUAGGUUUUUGCGCUUGAAGUGGCUCAAAGCCCUUUGUCGCCCUAGCGCAACAGAUCCACUUUGAAAAAGAAACAGGCUUUUCGCUGUUAGGGAAAGUGAUGGCGAAAUGCAUUGAAAAGUGUGGGAUGAGCAAAUGAUUAAGGGCAUCUAGAUCAAGGGAAGUAAUAGUACCACUGUAUUCUGCUCUGGUCAGACCUCACCUGGAGUACUGUGUCCAGUUCUGGGCACCACAGUUCAAGAAGGAUACUGGCAAGCUGGAACGUGUCCAGAAGAGGGCAACCAAAAUGGUCAAAGGCCUGGAAACGAUGCCUUAUGAGGAACGGCUUAGGGAGCUGGGUAUGUUUAGCCUGUAGAAGAGAAGGUUAAGGGGUGAUAUGAUAGAAAUGUUCAAAUAUAUAAAAGGAUGUCAUAUAGAGGAGGGUGAAAGGUUACUUUCUGCUGCUCCAGAGAAGCAGACAUGGAGCAAUGGAUUCAAACUACAAGAAAGAAGAUUCCACCUAAACAUUAGGAAGAACUUCCUGACAGUAAGAGCUGUUUGACAGUGGAAUUUGCUGCCAAGAAGUGUGGUGGAGUCUCCUUCUUUGGAGGUCUUUAAGCAGAGGCUUGACAGGCAUAUGUCAAGAAUGCUUUGAUGGUGUUUCCUGCUUGGCAGGGGGUUGGACUGGAUGGCCCUUGUGGUCUCUUCCAACUCUACGAUUAUAUGAUUCUAUGAUUAAUGGGCUGAGCAUAUGAGAAGCACAUCAGGAAGAAUGCAAAAGGAAUGCUUGUCAUUGUAUAAACUCCCUGCAAACAAAUCAGCAGAUGAUGAUGAUCAAUAAAAUUGAUUCUGUAUACAUUUUGUCCAAGCAAAUCAAGACGAAUGGAUGGUCACGAUCUGGAGGAGUCCAGUGGCUGAACCUGUGACUGCAAAGCUGCAGGAACUCUUGAUUGCUAAUGAUUAACACCUCUUUUCAAAAAAAGCAAAAGUUUAUAGAGCAGGAGUAAGCAACCUAAGGCCUGGGGGCCAGAUGAGGCCCAAUCACCUUCUAAAUCCGGUCCGGGAAUCAGCGUUUUUUUACAUGAGUAGAAUGUGUCAUUUUAUUUAAAAUGCAUCACUGGGUUAUUUGUGGGGUAUAUGAAUUCGUUCAUAUUUUUUUCCUCCAAAAUAUAGCCCACCCCAACAUACAGAUGCAUUGACCAUCAAAAGGAGGAGGGCUCAGCACAUUUAUUGAGUUUCCAACGAGAUAAUCUGCAUCCACAUUGAGACACCCGUUAUGCACCAGACCUUUGAACAGACACGUCUUAAUUACUGAGAGGAGAACUUGAGAAUGAGAAAUUGCCCUGUUUUCAAAAUACGUUGGUGUGCGUAUUCAAAACAGUUCGUCAUUGAAUUUUUCUGUUUUUAUGUGAACUGCAGUUAAACUCCUCCUCCCCUCCCCCGGUAACUUGUUGCAUCCUUUGGUAUUUAACUAUUUGCUGCUAUUUGUUUCCUGAAGACGAUCGGAGGCAACUCCUUUUGGAUAAUUCUACUUCUUUCCUAAUUUGCUUCUUCAUGCUUUUAGGGCAAGUUAUAGGCUGGUGGAGGGUUGGACCUCCCCCCCCCCCAAUCCCUCUUCCCUGGCCCUUUUACUCUGGUUCCCGAUAGGGAUGAAGCACCUACCCAGUUCUGGUAUAGAAACCGCCUGAAUAAAAAGGAAUAAAAUAAAAGCGAUGAGAUCUCUGUAUGAACAAGAGCAAUUGCCUCUGGCUCUCCUAACCUCCUCCAGCUUCCCCCUCUGGCUCUCAUCCGCCUUGACAGCCUUUGAUGUUGCUGUUCCUGGGCUUGAGUUAGUUCCUGCUUCUCCCUUCACUCAUUUCUCCCUCUUGCUUGUUGCUGUCAAGUUGAGUUCUGCUGGCAUGCUAGGGAAAGAGAGUCUGGCUCCGUAAGAGCUCACUGCGCGGCAGCACACACUGCCCAGCAAAGCUUAGGCCAGGGGAUCUAGCUGGAGAUGAACUCUAUUGAUGGAGUAGGCGAUGGAACAGCUCUCCUGCCUUGCACCCAACACUUUUUGUAUACCCAUGUCUGCUUUCACUGGUGUUGGAGGGAGCAGUGCUUCAGGUGUAGCAUACAAACAAAAAAAUCCAGACCGAGUCUCCGAGUCAUAGUUUUCCAACCUUACUUAGAGAGACAGGAGGAGAAGGUCGCUGCUUGGCUGAGAAGUGGAUCGCUGUGAGAUGAUACACCAGAAAUCGAAGCGAAAACUGCACACCAGUUGUUGUUGUUGUUGUUGUUGUUGUUGUUGUUGUUGUUGUUGUUGUUGUUGUUGUUUUAAACCCUACUGCAUGGUAGGGCUUCUCUCUGCACACUGCCCAAAAGCAACGGUGGGAAUAAUCUUUUAAAGAUGUUGGACCAGUUGAGCGCCGAAUGCGAAAAACUGGCCAGUGAGUGGCGGUCUCAUAGCAGCAGUGUUGUUGUUUAUCAUUUUUCACAGGGUAUGUUUAAUGCUCAAAGUACUUUGCAAUUCUUAUCUCAUUCACCCCCUUAGGGGUAGGGUGUUGUUGAUGUUCCCUGCCACCCCCACCCCCAUUUUUUUCAAAAGGAAAAAUAGGAUGGAACUGAGACUGAGUGAUGAAGCCGUCGGCAAGUCUCAAAAUAUCUUUUUGAAAGCUUGGAAGGGAGGGGGGGGAAGUUGCAUCUUUUACUGAUUUUAAGAAGUAUGACCCAAAUUAAAAGAAGUUUUAGAAGACGGGUAGACAUUCCGACCGUGAGGGAAGAGUGUGUGCGUUUUAACGCACAUUCUCCGCUCUUGAAACAGAUUCCUCGGAAUGCUGUAAACAUGCGGUGAAAAAAAUACUUCUGCCCCCCCUGCCAGAAGCUCCAUAUUUCUUUGUGGAACAAGAAGAUUAACCAAAACCUCUGUCUUUAUAGUAUAGGAAGCCGCCUUAUAUUAAGUCAGGUCCUUGGUCCAUUUAGCUCAGUAUUGUCUACACCAGGCAUGUCCAAAGUCCGUUUUGGCGCCUAAUCCGGUCGGUUUAAUCCAGCCCCUGAGGCAGUUUAUUUCCUUGGGUAAAAUCCUAAGAAAACACCAACAACUUCAAUCCUAAAAAAAGUCAAUAACUUUGGUCGGCCCCCACGGCCCUUGACUUCAUCAAAUCUGGCCCUCUUUGAAAAAAGUUUGCACACCACUGGUCUACACUGACUGGCAGUGACUCUGCAGGGUUUCACACGGGGGAAUCUCUCCUAGUCCUGCCUGGAGGUGCUGGGGUUAGAACCUGUGUCCUUCUCCAUGCAAAGCAGAUGCUCUAACUACUGUGCUAAGACCCCUCCAGAGAAUGGGCUGCAGAACUAUUGGAGGAAACAAGCAUAGCUAGGAGGUAACUUGCCAUUCAUUGCCUUUUCCCUCCCACCCUAAAAGCUUGAAAACUUCACUGACAACACUUGAAAAUGGCAAAACUACCUGCAUACAUUUACUUCUCCUCCUAGUUUUCCAUUGUAACUUUACGUUGUGUGGCAAUAGCAAUUCCGCCUGUUCUUUAGCACAGCCGGAUUUGAAGCUGAGUGGGGCAGCUGAGAGUGGGGUGGGUGGGGGGAAGCGCUCCUCUUUUCCACAAUGGCUGUGUUAAUUUUAAAUCAUUGAUACAAGAGGGACUUGCUCUAUUCACUGUUCUUCGCAAUUAUGUCAAGCAGACCCAGUGUCUGCAGAGACAAUGGCAGACAAUCAAUUGUUCAAUAUCCUCCCUGCUUACACUUGCACCUGUUCCCACUUGGACCAGUAGGAGGUUGCUCUGGAGAAGUGAUUUUGCUCCCCAUUGUGUGGGGUGUGUGUGUGUGUAAAAAUAAAUAGAUAGAAACACAGAAACCCCCUGGAUUUAGGCAGAGCUAGCUAGACGGACGUUUGAUGGAUUUCUGUAUUUUAGAAUUUCUGUUUUUUUUGGAAGCCGCCCAGAGUGGCUGGGGGAACCCGGCCAGAUGGGCGGGGUAUAAAUAAUAAAUUAUUAUUAUUAUUAUUAUUAUUAUUAGCAGGGGACAAAGGCCAGUAAUAGCACAUCAAGGAAACCAUUGGAGGGCAAGACCGCCAGGCAAGGGGAAGUGAGGCCCCUAUUGCGCAGAGGCAAAGGCUGUGGUUUAGGGAUUCAACUUUGGAUGACAUAGGCUGGGAGGGGGUCCUUGGAGUCUGUUAGCAGUGAAGAGGAUGGGCAGAGCUCCACGUGAGCCGAGAGUAACAAGCUGGAAGCAAGAGACACAGAGGGUGGCUUUCUGCUGUCCUUUGAAUUCAAUGCUGCCCUUAUGGGGAAAGCCAAACCUUCUUGAAUGUGCAUGCUCUGCAGCCCCUCCAUCUAGGUACAGUUUGUAUAUAUGCGUAAAACCAUACAUCAUAAAAACACUGCGGUCUCUGUUGUGCCUCAUUGCCCCCAAAGCAAACACAGGCUCUAGUAAGUGUGCCUGCAACUCCUGGAAUCUUUGCACUGCUCAUGGAAAUAGCGGUUCUGUGUAACAAUACGUUUAGAGAAUGUAAGGAGAUUUUUGCUUCCAUCCAUCUAAGUCAGACUCCCCAUCCCCCUGCCGCCAUAGUACCGGUAGUAACCAGGAUGUCAAGGGUGUCACAAUGACAAGUUGAGCAUGUUGGUGAAUGCCUUCCUUUACUGUCUGUGUAUUGCUUAAAACAGUGUAUUGUUUAAAAUAUGUGUGUUUGAGGUGUGUAUGUAUGCAUAUGCAUUGGGGGGUGGGGGUGGAUAAAAAGAAACCAGUAUAGGCAACAACCGAUUUGCAGACGUCCAAUUGGCGCACGAUCGCGCAUGUGCGCAUUGUGGCGACUUGGAAGUGGGCAGAAUGAGGUGGGGCUGCCUGUAAUUAAAUUCCAUCGCCCCACCUCUGGUGAGCUAAGUAAUAUCAGGGCAGUUUUUAUUUUUAUCUAUUUAUUUUAUCUAUUUUGCAGCACUUAUUUACAGCCCAAUUGUAAAAAACAAACAAACCCCAAAGCAGUUUGCAAUUCAGAGUGCUUGUUCUGAGGUGCUUCAGUUUGGGGAGGGUGUUCGUCACUCGCCACCCAGAAAGUGAGCUGCAGAAACAGAGAGCUGCAAAUUGGAGGCUUUCAAUUAGCAUUAAGAAGGGCCCUUUUGCUGCACGCAUCUUAUUGGUGAAUAUAUAUAUGAUAUGAGGACAUUGGCCGUGGGGAAGGGCAUAGCUCUGGAUAAUAAUAUAGCAGCGCGUCACAAAGAAGCUCCCUUUGAAUCCCAGCUGGUUGCGGGAAAACAAUGCUUCAGCUGCGAGGACGUCCACCUCUUGUGCCGGGAGCAAAACGUUAACUCUUGCAAUUAAAUUCGUACAAGGUGGAUUUCUGGAUGCCCCCCCCCCCCGUUUCUAAGCAGUUUUGCAUGAUACUGUAUACACUUCAGUGUGUGAGAGCAAUUGUGCUAUUGCUUGGGACCUCCCGCUCAUGAUGCCUGGGAUUAUCUGUAUUGUACGUAGUUGGGAGCAAAAUGCACCAGAGAGCAAGUAGGUCUGGGCCCUAUGACGUCUCUUCGUAAGAGAACAAUGCGGCGGUCGCAACCGGAACUGUUAAAUAACUGCAACUUUGGAGCAUUAGCCUGCCUCCUGGCAUUGCUUUGAUGUUAUCAUUUUUUUAAUUGCUGCUGCUUUAUUUGGAAAGGCAACUGCUGUGCGUGGAGUAUUCCUCUAGCGGCAAUUUGCGUCAGAUCAGAGGACACAGAGUACGGCGAAGUAAACAGCACGCAAAGGGAUGGUGGUGGUUUGGGCGGGCUCUGCUGCUGCACCCACUCGCCUUUGGUCAUGCCACCGACUUUGCCCCCCUUGGGCUCGCGGCUCACAGAGUGCUGAGCAGGCCCUUGUGCAUGUCGGCAUGGGACCAUGCGAGAAGGAAAAUUGAGUGGACAGUGAUGCCAGGAAAGCUGUGUGAGCCGUGUGCUCCUCUGGAGGCCCCAGAGGGCCUUUCUGUUCUCUGUCAGUGGUUCAUCUGAAUACCAUAUGUCACCAAACAAAUGUUCCCAGCCAUUCCACUCUAACGGGCACGGCAGACAUCACGUUCCAGGAAAUUUCCAUGCCCGGCUCCGAGAUAAACAGUAACAGGGCCGGCCUAAUUGUUGAGUGGGUUAAAAAUGCAGAGCGGUUUUGAAAUGCCAUUGCUUUCCCUUUUAAAAUAUUGUGUCUGUGUCUGUCUGUUUGUCUCUCUCUGUGUGUGUGUGUACAAACACACACAAACAAAUAUACAUAUAUCACUUUUUAAAAAGGAAGGUCAAUUUCCAGGUCAAGCUGAUUUACAAAACAAGCAGUAGAAUAAGCAUACGUUUUUAUAUAAAUAUAUGAAGUAUAAAUAUUUGUAAAGGGGAUUUAUUUGCGUGUUUAGGCCUUUAAACCUCCCCCUUAAAUAAAUUCACACAAGACUAAAAAUUUUGGUUUGGUUUUUUGGCAGAAUUUAGGCCACAACUUUAUUGAUCACAGCAAGUGAGUGGUUGCAUAGGCUCUGAUUCGACUAGCUCCCUGCACCGUUGCAGGUAGCGCUGACACAGAGCUCUAUCGUAGGUCAGCCUAGGGUGAACACCUGGAAUGGCAGAAAGCCGGGAACAUGCUAUGUCCACCACCCAGAUAUCCCCCUGGACUCAGGCACGGACACAACCCCUCGCAGGGUUGACCAAACCAUUGAGUCCCUGGAUUCCUUUAAUGGAAUACCCCUUCACAUAGGGAUGGCAAGAGUGUUUCCCCAUCCCUAUCACCUGAACCCAGAGCCUAUCCGCAACCUUACAAGUUGUGACGAUUUGCUACGCGGCAGGCGAAACCCAAACGGCACCAGCUAAUCAGCCAAGUGGGGGAAAUUCCUGCCGUGCCCCUGUCCCAAAGACAGAUGACACACGACGGCAUAGCAAGGUCAAGCGCAUAAGCCCUAAAUAUAGGGAGAGGUGGGUGGGUGUUCUGAUGCACUGACCAAGAGAGAAAGCUCAGGGUCACGUGCAUUGGCAUAUAUAGGUCCCUUGAUCCAUUUGGGUAGCGUCCCAUUGGUCAGAUUAAACCCAGCAUCAAGGGACCUACCAAUUGGGUGUUGUGGCUUUCCAGUCGUACCCACCCACAACACAGGGUCUGGUUGCCAGGUCUCACCACUUUGAGGGAGGACACAAUUCAUUCAUUCAUUCAUUCAUUCAUUCAUUCAUUCAUUUCCCACCUUUUCCCCUGACAGGGUCUCAAUGCAGCUUACAGAUAAAAUAAGAACAGCUAAAAAACAUUGGGGUGGGGUGUGUGUGUGUGGGGGAAACGAUCAUUAAACAAAAAAUUAAGCAUCAAUAGAAUUAAAACUAUACCUACAUGUGUAUACCAUCUAUUGGAAACAUACAACUGCAACAAAAAUAGCCUGACACUAUGCCUUUCUGGCUUCUACAGUGUUGAGCUGGUGUGUCUUGACACCUAGAGAUGCAAUCUUCAUAUAUCAACUAUGUUAUCUCUAAGCAAAGAGGCACCAGUCCAUGGUGGCAAAUUGGCCCGAAAAUGGGCACACACAAGCCAAGCCUAGAUUGGGUCCCUUGAUUUUUCCAGUUUUCCCUUUGGAGCGGUCCAUUCUUGGAUUUCCUAUCUCAAAAAUCAUCACAACACCAAGUAAAGGUAUUGUCUAAGCAGCACUGGGCAUCCUGGCGUGCUCGUCUCAUCUCUCUCUGAUUCCUAAGAGAGGCAGCCAGUCUGAUAGGUGGGCUAAGACCUUGUUCUCUAUAAACAAAGCAUCUGGCUAUAACAGCAUCCCAGAAGUCCGCUCACCUCAACCGGCCAUGUGGUGCCUCAAGUGUACCUGCCCACUUUUGAAAAUCAG
This is a non-coding RNA of Zootoca vivipara (common lizard), 22548 nucleotides long. NCBI's taxonomy places the organism in Eukaryota, Metazoa, Chordata, Lepidosauria, Squamata, Lacertidae. The record is from RefSeq and is a predicted model, not a curated record.